AACGAACGCUGGCGGCAUGCCUAACACAUGCCAGUCGAACGAGACCUUCGGGUCUUUUGGCGCACGGGUGCGUAACGCGUGGGAACCUUCCCUUAUGUUCGGAAUAACUCCCCGAAAGGGGUGCUAAUACCGGACAAUGUCUUCUGACCAAAGAUUUAUCGCCUUUGGAUGGGCCCGCGUUGGAUUAGCUAGUUGGUAGGGUAAAAGCCUACCAAGGCGACGAUCCAUAGCUGGUCUGAGAGGAUGAUCAGCCACACUGGGACUGAGACACGGCCCAGACUCCUACGGGAGGCAGCAGUGGGGAAUAUUGGACAAUGGGCGAAAGCCUGAUCCAGCAAUGCCGCGUGAGUGAUGAAGGCCUUAGGGUUGUAAAGCUCUUUUACCCGGGAUGAUAAUGACAGUACCGGGAGAAUAAGCUCCGGCUAACUCCGUG
RNAcentral lists this ribosomal RNA (433 nucleotides) under uncultured bacterium. Its description in RNAcentral is "partial 16S ribosomal RNA". It matches the Rfam family "Bacterial small subunit ribosomal RNA", at positions 29 to 507 of the family's 1533-position model. The record is from RNAcentral.